Molecule: ribosomal RNA, 253 nt
Filed under: uncultured prokaryote
Description: partial 16S ribosomal RNA
Rfam family: Bacterial small subunit ribosomal RNA
Source: RNAcentral
ACAGAGGGGGCAAGCGUUGUCCGGAUUUACUGGGCGUACAGCGCGCGCAGGCGGUGGUGUAGGUACCUGGUGACAGUCUCGGGCUCAACUCGAGGGGGUCUGGGUCGACCGCACCGCUGGAGGCAGGGAGAGGGAUGUGGAAUACCCGGUGGAGCGGUGAAAUGCGUAGAGAUCGGGUGGAACACCAGUGGCGAAGGCGGCAUCCUGGCCCUGAUCUGACGCUGAGGCGCGAGAGCGUGGGGAGCAAACGGGA